This 232-nucleotide ribosomal RNA is filed under the name uncultured bacterium. Its description in RNAcentral is "partial 16S ribosomal RNA". It matches the Rfam family "Bacterial small subunit ribosomal RNA", at positions 99 to 334 of the family's 1533-position model. The record is from RNAcentral.
CGGACGGGUGAGUAAUGUCUGGGAAACUGCCUGAUGGAGGGGGAUAACUGCUGGAAACGGUAGCUAAUACCGCAUAACGUCGCAAGACCAAAGAGGGGGACCUUCGGGCCUCUUGCCACCGGAUGUGCCCAGAUGGGAUUAGCUAGUAGGUGGGGUAACGGCUCACCUAGGCGACGAUCCCUAGCUGGUCUGAGAGGAUGACCAGCCACACUGGAACUGAGACACGGUCCAG